This 164-nucleotide unclassified non-coding RNA is filed under the name soil metagenome. RNAcentral's name for it is "partial internal transcribed spacer 1". The record is from RNAcentral.
CACAAAUAUGAAGGCGGGCUAGAACCUCUCGGGGUUACAGCCUUGCUGAAUUAUUCACCCUUGUCUUUUGCGUACUUCUUGUUUCCUUGGUGGGUUCGCCCACCACUAGGACAAACAUAAACCUUUUGUAAUUGCAAUCAGCGUCAGUAACAAAUUAAUAAUUA